Molecule: ribosomal RNA, 447 nt
Filed under: uncultured bacterium
Lineage: Bacteria
Description: bacterial SSU rRNA
Rfam family: Bacterial small subunit ribosomal RNA
Source: RNAcentral
GACCCAGACUCCUACGGGAGGCAGCAGUGGGGAAUAUUGCACAAUGGGGGAAACCCUGAUGCAGCGACGCCGCGUGAGUGAAGAAGUACUUCGGUAUGUAAACCUCUGUCAGCAGGGAAGAAAAUGACGGUACCUGACUAAGAAGCCCCGGCUAACUACGUGCCAGCAGCCGCGGUAAUACGUAGGGGGCAAGCGUUAUCCGGAUUUACUGGGUGUAAAGGGAGCGUAGACGGCAUGGCAAGUCAGAUGUGAAAGCCCGGGGCUCAACCCCGGGACUGCCCUUGGAACUGCAUGGCUGGAGUGCGGGAGGGGCAGGCGGAAUUCCUGGUGUAGCGGUGAAAUGCGUAGAUAUCAGGAGGAACACCGGCGGCGAAGGCGGCCUGCUGGACCGCGACUGACGUUGAGGCUCGAAAGCGUGGGGAGCGAACAGGAUUAGAUACCCCAGUA